UACAUGUGGGGCAAGCGUUGUUCGGAAUUACUGGGCAUAAAGGGCGCGUAGGCGGCCUGUUAAGUCGAACGUGAAAUCCCCCGGGCUCAACCCGGGAACUGCGUCCGAUACUGGCAGGCUUGAAUCCGGGAGAGGGAUGCGGAAUUCCAGGUGUAGCGGUGAAAUGCGUAGAUAUCGGGAGGAACACCAGUGGCGAAGGCGACUACCUGGCCUGUUCUUGACGCUGAGGCACGAAAGCGUGGGGAGCAAACAGGG
RNAcentral lists this ribosomal RNA (255 nucleotides) under uncultured bacterium. RNAcentral's name for it is "partial 16S ribosomal RNA". It matches the Rfam family "Bacterial small subunit ribosomal RNA", at positions 524 to 777 of the family's 1533-position model. The record is from RNAcentral.